GGCAGCGAGCGUUGUUCGGAGUUACUGGGCGUAAAGAGUGCGUAGGCGGUUUUAUAAGUUUGGUGUGAAAUCUCCCGGCUUAACUGGGAGGGUGCGCCGAAAACUGGAAGGCUUGAGUAUGGGAGAGGUAAGCGGAAUUCCUGGUGUAGCGGUGAGAUGCGUAGAUAUCAGGAGGAACACCUGCGGUGUAGACGGCUUACUGGACCAUAACUGACGCUGAGGCACGAAAGCGUGGGUAGCAAACAGG
RNAcentral lists this ribosomal RNA (247 nucleotides) under uncultured bacterium. RNAcentral describes it as "partial 16S ribosomal RNA". It matches the Rfam family "Bacterial small subunit ribosomal RNA", at positions 530 to 776 of the family's 1533-position model. The record is from RNAcentral.